GACGAACGCUGGCGGCGUGCUUAACACAUGCAAGUCGAACGAACAGACGAGGAACUUUGUUUCCUGACGUUAGCGGCGGACGGGUGAGUAACACGUGGAUUACCCAUCUAUUAGACUGGGAUAAAUUCGGGAGACCGGAGUUAAUACAGGACAAUAUAUUUAAUCGCAUGGUUCAAUAGUGAAAGAAGGUUUUGCUGAUAUAUAUACAUGGAUCCGCGCCGCAUUGGCUAGUUGGUAAGGUAACGGCUUACCAAGGCGACCAUGGGUAGCCGACCUGGGAGGGUGAUGGCCCACACUGGAACUGGGCCCCGGUCCGGACUCCUAGGGGAGGCACAGGGGGGGAAUCUUCGGAAAUGGGCGAAAGCCUGACGAAGCAACGCCGGGUGGGUGAUGAGGCUCUUCGGAUCGUAAGACCCUGUUAUUGGGGAAAAAGACAUGCGUGAGAAACGAUGCACGUCUUGACGGUACCUAAACAGAAAGCCACGGCUAACUACGUG
This 497-nucleotide ribosomal RNA is filed under the name uncultured bacterium. Its description in RNAcentral is "partial 16S ribosomal RNA". It matches the Rfam family "Bacterial small subunit ribosomal RNA", at positions 28 to 507 of the family's 1533-position model. The record is from RNAcentral.